This is a long non-coding RNA of Oncorhynchus gorbuscha (pink salmon), 1542 nucleotides long. RefSeq lists it as uncharacterized. The transcript has 2 exons. NCBI's taxonomy places the organism in Eukaryota, Metazoa, Chordata, Actinopteri, Salmoniformes, Salmonidae. The record is from RefSeq and is a predicted model, not a curated record.
CACAUACACAUACACAUACACACACGCACGCACGCACACACACACACACACACACACACACACACACACACACACACACACACAAAACCCCACUCCCACUUCCUGGUAACCAUGGGUCAUCACAGGGUCAAGUUUAGAAAUGAAAAUGAGAGGUAGUCAGUAGUCCUCCAACCCGGUUGGCAGGUGUAGAUUCUCCGUACCAAACAAUCCAAUAAAGACUGUACAUGUUGUUUGUUACUCAAUGCAGGUACCUUUAUGUGAUGCUCAUGUGUUUUUAAAUUCUUCCUCUUUGAUAUUUUCAACCCCAAAACAACCAGCAGCAGUCUAUUUUAAUACUUUUAUAUUGUUCUGAUGUAGUUCUGAAGACAGGCUGGGGCAUGUGGUAGUGAAAUCUAGGUGUCGUCUCCAUGACAUGUGGUAGUGAAAUCUAGGUGUCGUCUCCAUGACAUGUGGUAGUGAAAUCUAGGUGUCGUCUCCAUGACAUGUGGUAGUGAAAUCUAGGUGUCGUCUCCAUGACAUGUGGUAGUGAAAUCUAGGUGUCGUCUCCAUGACAUGUGGUAGUGAAAUCUAGGUGUCGUCUCCAUGACAUGUGGUAGUGAAAUCUAGGUGUCGUCUCCAUGACAUGUGGUAGUGAAAUCUAGGUGUCGUCUCCAUCCAUGUGGUAGUGAAAUCUAGGUGUCGUCUCCAUGACAUGUGGUAGUGAAAUCUAGGUGUCGUCUCCAUGACAUGUGGUAGUGAAAUCUAGGUGUCGUCUCCAUGACAUGUGGUAGUGAAAUCUAGGUGUCGUCUCCAUGACAUGUGGUAGUGAAAUCUAGGUGUCGUCUCCAUGACAUGUUUGUAGAGCGUAGUCCAAUAAAAAAUAAAUACAGACAAUCAAAUAGAAAUGUAUGUGGGCCAUAAAUAUCAGUGAAGUGAAAAGACCAUACAGUUUGAACCAUAUGUCUCUUUAAAUCACAACACCCAACUUGUACUGGACAGCUCGUGUUAGCACAGCACACAUGAACUUCUUUUCAUCUCUACAGCUCAGGCGUAGACUAGCUAAACAUAUGGCGUCAGAGAACUGCCAAAAUGUUGUGCGUUCAACCUUUGGCAGAUAUCUAACUCCAUAUUAACACCUUUUACCUGGAUGAGCAAACAAGAAGAAGUACGUUAGCCCGAACUGUCUGAACAUACCAAUAAUGUUUCUAUUCCAUUUACAUUUUUGUCAUUUAGCGUAUGCUCUUAUCCAGAGUGACUUACAGGAGCAGGAUCAAUGUGUUCUCUACAGCAAAUAGUUUGAGUUGGAGGUCGGGGAGAGGGAUACAGGGCCAGCUAGGACUUACAGUAUGGUUCAGCGUUUCCAUUUGAAUUCAGUCAAUUCAGGAAGUGAAUUGAUCCUAACCCUGGAUUAGAGAGAGUCUCUGUGCUUGUGGCCAUGGUGAUGUUGGGAGCAUGCUGUUACAUCUGAACUGUGAACCUAGUACAACACCUCCUUCGUUACUUGAACUUCUGUAUGUACCUUAUACUUUUAUUUAUUAAAGCCCUCUGCAUUUGAAUUCUAGA